Molecule: ribosomal RNA, 253 nt
Filed under: uncultured bacterium
Lineage: Bacteria
Description: partial 16S ribosomal RNA
Rfam family: Bacterial small subunit ribosomal RNA
Source: RNAcentral
UACGUAGGGGGCAAGCGUUGUCCGGAUUUAUUGGGCGUAAAGAGCGUGUAGGCGGCCAAGCAGGUCCGUUGUGAAAACUGGAGGCUUAACCUCCAGACGUCGACGGAAACCGCGUGGCUAGAGUCCGGAAGAGGAGAGUGGAAUUCCUGGUGUAGCGGUGAAAUGCGCAGAUAUCAGGAAGAACACCAAUGGCGAAGGCAGCUCUCUGGGACGGUACUGACGCUGAGACGCGAAAGCGUGGGGAGCGGACAGG